AGAGUUUGAUCCUGGCUCAGAACGAACGCUGGCGGCAUGCCUAACACAUGCAAGUCGAACGCCUGUAGCAGUACAGGAGUGGCGCACGGGUGAGUAACGCGUGGGAACCUACCCUGGAGUGGGGGAUAACCGAGAGAAAUUUCGGCUAAUACCGCAUACGUCCUGAGGGAGAAAGAUUUAUCGCUCUAGGAGGGGCCCGCGUCGGAUUAGCUAGUUGGUGGGGUAACGGCCUACCAAGGCAGCGAUCCGUAGCUGGUCUGAGAGGAUGAUCAGCCACACUGGGACUGAGACACGGCCCAGACUCCUACGGGAGGCAGCAGUGGGGAAUAUUGGACAAUGGGCGCAAGCCUGAUCCAGCAAUGCCGCGUGAGUGAUGAAGGCCUUAGGGUUGUAAAGCUCUUUCGCCCGCGACGAUGAUGACGGUAGCGGGAGAAGAAGCCCCGGCUAACUUCGUGCCAGCAGCCGCGGUAAUACGAAGGGGGCGAGCGUUGUUCGGAUUUACUGGGCGUAAAGGGCGCGUAGGCGGCGCCGGAAGUCGCGUGUGAAAGCCCCGGGCUCAACCUGGGAGGUGCGCGCGAGACUGUGGUGCUGGAGUUCGGGAGAGGAGCGUGGAAUUCCCAGUGUAGAGGUGAAAUUCGUAGAUAUUGGGAAGAACACCGGUGGCGAAGGCGGCGCUCUGGACCGAGACUGACGCUGAGGCGCGAAGGCGUGGGGAGCAAACAGGAUUAGAUACCCCCGUAGUCC
Molecule: ribosomal RNA, 744 nt
Filed under: uncultured bacterium
Lineage: Bacteria
Description: bacterial SSU rRNA
Rfam family: Bacterial small subunit ribosomal RNA
Source: RNAcentral